Molecule: ribosomal RNA, 482 nt
Filed under: uncultured bacterium
Lineage: Bacteria
Description: bacterial SSU rRNA
Rfam family: Bacterial small subunit ribosomal RNA
Source: RNAcentral
UUGAACGCUGGCGGCAUGCCUUACACAUGCAAGUCGAACGGCAGCACGGGAGCAAUCCUGGUGGCGAGUGGCGAACGGGUGAGUAAUAUAUCGGAACGUGCCCAGUCGUGGGGGAUAACGCAGCGAAAGCUGUGCUAAUACCGCAUACGAUCUACGGAUGAAAGCGGGGGAUCGCAAGACCUCGCGCGAUUGGAACGGCCGAUAUCAGAUUAGCUAGUUGGUGGGGUAAAAGCCCACCAAGGCGACGAUCUGUAGCUGGUCUGAGGGGACGACCAGCCACACUGGAACUGAGACACGGUCCAGACUCCUACGGGAGGCAGCAGUGGGGAAUUUUGGACAAUGGGCGAAAGCCUGAUCCAGCCAUGCCGCGUGCAGGAUGAAGGCCUUCGGGUUGUAAACUGCUUUUGUACGGAACGAAAAGACUCCUUCUAAUAAAGGGGGUCCAUGACGGUACCGUAAGAAUAAGCACCGGCUAACUACGU